UACAGAGGUCUCAAGCGUUGUUCGGAUUCAUUGGGCGUAAAGGGUGCGUAGGCGGCGCGGUAAGUCGGGUGUGAAAUCUUGGAGCUUAACUCCGAAACUGCAUUCGAUACUGCCGUGCUUGAGGACUGGAGAGGAGACUGGAAUUUACGGUGUAGCAGUGAAAUGCGUAGAUAUCGUAAGGAAGACCAGUGGCGAAGGCGAGUCUCUGGACAGUUGCUGACGCUGAGGCACGAAGGCCAGGGGAGCAAACGGG
RNAcentral lists this ribosomal RNA (253 nucleotides) under uncultured bacterium. RNAcentral describes it as "partial 16S ribosomal RNA". It matches the Rfam family "Bacterial small subunit ribosomal RNA", at positions 524 to 776 of the family's 1533-position model. The record is from RNAcentral.